This 376-nucleotide unclassified non-coding RNA is filed under the name soil metagenome. RNAcentral's name for it is "partial contains 5.8S ribosomal RNA, internal transcribed spacer 2, and large subunit ribosomal RNA". The stretch from base 1 to 120 matches the Rfam family "5.8S ribosomal RNA", at positions 35 to 154 of the family's 154-position model. The record is from RNAcentral.
GAUGAAGAACGCAGCGAAGUGCGAUAAGUAGUGUGAAUUGCAGAAUUCCGUGAAUCAUCGAAUCUUUGAACGCAAAUUGCACUCCCUGGCAUUCCGGGGAGUAUGCCUGUUUGAGGGUCAGUAUACAUAAAAUCGGAAUGUCGCUUUUUUUGUUGCAUUUCGGAAUUUGGGUCAUCUUAACCCCCCGGGUUUAAGAGGCCUGAAAUUGACGUUUUUUUGUCAUCCUGGACGUGUAUAAAAUUUCUUAACCGUUUCGGGUGUCAAGUACUCUAUUAGGUACGAUCACGUCGUGUGACUUCGUGCCCAUAAUUUCGUUGAAUGACCUCAAAUCAGGUAGGGACACCCGCUGAACUUAAGCAUAUCAAUAAGCGGAGGA